ACAAAUCAAACGCGUUUAAUGACAUACAAUUCCUCACAAAAUAUUCAGGACAUUAACAGCUCACGUGAGUUAACAUUGAAUCUGGUACAUUUUAUCAUGCUAUUUGCUAUGAAAUGCAAUCGAAGCGUUUAUCUGUUUGAUUAUAACAUUUAUCAUCACAUGUGAUAGUACAAGUCCGUCCUGUUUACAUGAGCUAUAUAUACACCAUUAAUAGUCGAUUCGCAAUGUUUAAUAGUAUGAUAAGUUAGUGUACUUGAAAUAAAGAAAACGUUCAAACACACAUAAGCGAAAAAUAUAUGCUGUACUUCAAUAUGUGAUUCAAACAUUUGUCUUAUUGUGGACGGAUCAGUUUAUGGAUAUGACAUCAUUGGAGACAAUCCGCGAACAUACGCGUGAACCACGAGUGUUUCCGGCGGGAGCACCAAUGAAUACUUCAGGGGAAACAACCGACGACGACGAUGCUGACGAGGACGUUCCGCUUGACCUAGUUUCCGAGAGGGCGCGACAAUUCCUGGGGAGAUUCCUGAAAGGAUUCUCCAGCGGUCUGGGUGUCUAUUCCGGUAUCAAGAUCGUCACUGCCCUAAUGCGGAACCCUUUCCGGCAAAGCCUACCUAUCAUCAGAGCAGAGCUUCUGGCAAAGGACAGUUUCCGGUUCGCUGCGUUCCUGGGUCUGUACCCAAGCCUGUACGAUCUGGCGCUAGAGUUGCUGGAGCAGUACAGGCGGAAAAGGGACGACUGGAAUAGCGCUCUAGCGGGCGGUCUCGCCGGCCUAGCCAUUGUGGUUGAGGAUCGAACCCGUCGUCGGAUAUACUGCCUGUUCGCUAUCGCCCGGGCCAUAGGCGCCGUGGUGAGCACCCUGGUGAGGCGAGGCUUACUUCCGGCCAUGCCUUACAGCGAGACGAUGCUGUUCUGCUCGUGUACUUCCUUUCUCGUAUAUUGCACGGCGCUUAAACCGCAAUACCUGCUCACCGGAUACUACAAGUCCGUGCUCAAGUGGUCAAGGGACUAUACUGACCGAAAGUUGACAACGCUAUUCCGACAGCCGGGGCCGGAUUUUCUCACGUGCUCUGACGUGGGGCUGCACGAGGGAAGCUGUAUGCGACACGCGGUGACGGACUUUACUCGGAGCCUUCCAGCUUUCGCGAAAUUGUACCUGCCCAUUCAUCUAGCUCCUAUCAUAUUCUUCAAAUACAAGCUGUUUCUGAAAAGACCAAUGCGACUACUGAAAGCAUUUCUCAAGAACAUCGUCUUUUCCACCGCCUUCCUCGCCACCAUGGUCAUGCUAGCAAAGUAUGGCAUCUGCCUAUUGCGCAACUUCCGGCACGCGCCACCGCCACUUCCGGGCUGGAUCCCCGCCUUAGCCGGAAUAGUCGCCGGUCUGGGUGUGCUAUUUGAGAGAACCAACAGACGUCGGGAGCUUUCGCUGUUUCUAAUUCCGCACACUCUAUAUGCCGUUUACCUUUGGGCAAAAGAAAGGGGCGUGAUAUCCCAUUGGCGGAACAGUUCUAUUCUAAUUUUUGCGCUGGCGAUGGUUCCAAUAAUGCACGCUUAUGAGCGGGAACCAGAAUCGCUCAAUUUGCUACUGCACAGUGCAUUGAAAUAUUUUGUUGGAAAGCGAAUCAGCACAGUUGAGCGACAAAAACGACGGACAGUGAGCGAGAUGAGCACGUAGUGUAUGCACGUGUUGUAAUUUGUACCGUUGGGCGCGAGACCGUACAAUUACGAUGUAUCCUGUCACAUUCGCAUAUCGUUGCACUCAUAUAUUUAUUUAUUUGUGUAUUUAUGUAUAUGCAAUAAUAAUGUGAUACUGAUUAUACUUGAUAAUGAUAUUGCGUGUUAUUUAUCUUGCGCAUCUGUAAUGCCGCAAAAUGAGUGCAGCUGUGCAAGGUAAUUUAACGCAAGAAAAUAACGUAAACGUUACAAUGGACCAUUUGACGAAAUUCGUCGAUGUGAACACGCGACGGCAGCUGUGUGAAAAAAAUUAAAGAAACAAUUGUUUUAGCCAGUUGUGUUGGCAAACAAUACGGAUUGUCAAUACUAAAGAAGCUCAGGUAUCGCAAGCAACUCAGGAAGGCCCGGACUAUUCAAACAGCUGUGAAGGUUCCUUUUAAGAACAAAGCAUAGGUGGGGGCGGAAAUACAAUAACGACGUAUAUACCGUUACCUACUGAAAUACUCUUUUUAUGUAUUCGUUGGUUCUUUUCGUUAUUUUUUCAAUUGUGUUACAUCGCAUAGAUCUUGCAUGUACCUUUUUAGAAAAAAGUAUAGGUGGGAGCGAAAAUACAAUAACGACGUAUAUACCGUUACCUACCGAAAUACUAUUAAACAACAAUUCAUCGGUUCUUUUCGUUAUUAUUAAAUUGUGUUACAUCACGUGAAUCUUUCAUAGAAAAAAAUCCCGGGUAUUCACGUCAGCUAAAGCGUAUUGUGCUGUCUUAAAUUAUUGAAUAAACAAAUAUACCAUUAUCUACAACCAUUGCGAAAA
Molecule: RNA transcript, 2484 nt
Organism: Dreissena polymorpha
Lineage: Eukaryota; Metazoa; Mollusca; Bivalvia; Myida; Dreissenidae
Exons: 5
Source: RefSeq, a predicted model, not a curated record